Long non-coding RNA from Magnolia sinica, 901 nucleotides. RefSeq lists it as uncharacterized. NCBI's taxonomy places the organism in Eukaryota, Viridiplantae, Streptophyta, Magnoliopsida, Magnoliales, Magnoliaceae. The transcript is spliced from 2 exons. The record is from RefSeq and is a predicted model, not a curated record.
UAACUCCACUAAAAGUCCACCAACAUCUAUAACAUGUACUUCUCGUUAGUGUAUACAUGUUCAUUUCUUUGAUACAAAUAGUCCAAUCUACUUGAGGUGGCCCACCAGGUCAACAAUACCAAUCACAAUAUGUGUUUUCCAUGUGAACUGAAGGGAGUGAGCUGCAGAGAAGAGAAUCAUACAAAUGUUCCUCUUAAACUAAAGAUCAAUUCAUUAUGGAGCAGAGAAUUUUGUGAUGAGAGUAGGCCUAUGAAUCCAUUCAGGCAGAUAGGUGUGUGUUAUAUCAGAGCCGCUCAUCACGACAUCUCACAAUUUAAAUGGCAUGUCUUAGAAAUCAGUUCGUAUGUAUACAAGAUAAAUGCAUUGUUAAUAGGAUCAAUGGCCCACAUUAAACACACACAUGUAGCUUACCUGAUGGUCAGCUUGGCCCGAUCCUUGGUAGAAAAGAAUAUUCCUAGUGGGGAUGGCUUGACAUCUUCACACUGGAGCUAGCAUGUCUCUUGUCACAUCUUAUUUCCAUGGAAUUUUUUGUGGUAACAUAAGGAAAUUUUGGGAACCAAACCUGGCAUCCCACUAAUAAUACUACUCCAAGAACCGGGAGUAGCUGAAUCUGAGUUUGCUAUGAUUGAUAUGGGAACACUCAUCAAGAAAUUUCUUAAUCUUCGCAAUCCGGGUCCUCUAAUUGUACCUAAAGGAGCUCUUGCAAAAUCGCCUCCCGAACCAAUUACCUUGCCUCCAUGGUUGUGUGAAGAGGAUAUUGAUUAUUAUGUCAGUAAAUUCAACAAGUCAAGCUUUACUGGAGGACUGAACUACUACUGAAAUAUAGAUCCGUAUGUUUUCUACCAACUUCUUUUUAAUUGUUAUAAGUUGCUGAUUUGAAAUAUGUCUCUUAUUAGAAUGA